This 234-nucleotide long non-coding RNA is filed under the name Selaginella moellendorffii. RNAcentral describes it as "long non-coding RNA (SMOE_LNC002143)". Lineage: Eukaryota; Viridiplantae; Streptophyta; Lycopodiopsida; Selaginellales; Selaginellaceae. The record is from RNAcentral.
GAUUGGGCAGAUUGUGAGCUCUCUCUCUCUCUCUCUCUGUGUCUCUCUCUCUCUCUAUGUCUGUGUGUGUGUGUGUGUGUAUGUGCUGAAAUUUUCUAUUUGCUGCGUUUGAUCGGACUGGCUGGGGAGUGACGAGCCAGCCGUGCAAAAAAAGUGGCCGUGACAAAGAUGGUCUUCCCAAUCCUUACAAGCACCAGUCUCAAGUGAGUGUUCUAUUCAUUGUCGUUUAAAAAA